ACGUUGAAACACCGGUUCCCGUACGAUCACCGAAGUUAAGCAACUCCGAGCCUGGUCAGUAUCUAGAUGGGUGGACGCUUGGGAAAAACCUGGGGCUGUAAG
Acanthosepion pharaonis is the source of this 102-nucleotide non-coding RNA. The record is from the annotation of a GenBank genome assembly. Lineage: Eukaryota; Metazoa; Mollusca; Cephalopoda; Sepiida; Sepiidae.